AUUGAACGCUGGCGGCAUGCCUUACACAUGCAAGUCGAACGGCAGCACGGGUGCUUGCACCUGGUGGCGAGUGGCGAACGGGUGAGUAUUACAUCGGAACGUACCUUAUCGUGGGGGAUAACGCAGCGAAAGCUGUGCUAAUACCGCAUACGCCCUGAGGGGGAAAGCGGGGGAUCGCAAGACCUCGCGCGAUUAGAGCGGCCGAUGCCUGAUUAGCUUGUUGGUGGGGUAAAAGCCCACCAAGGCGACGAUCAGUAGCUGGUCUGAGAGGACGAUCAGCCACACUGGGACUGAGACACGGCCCAGACUCCUACGGGAGGCAGCAGUGGGGAAUUUUGGACAAUGGGGGCAACCCUGAUCCAGCAAUGCCGCGUGAGUGAAGAAGGCCUUCGGGUUGUAAAGCUCUUUUGUCAGGGAAGAAACACCGGCUCUAACACAGUCCGGGAACGACGGUACCUGAAGAAUAAGCACCGGCUAACUACGUGCCAGCCGCCGCCGUAA
Molecule: ribosomal RNA, 501 nt
Filed under: uncultured bacterium
Lineage: Bacteria
Description: partial 16S ribosomal RNA
Rfam family: Bacterial small subunit ribosomal RNA
Source: RNAcentral